Mytilus californianus (California mussel) is the source of this 4117-nucleotide long non-coding RNA. RefSeq lists it as uncharacterized. NCBI's taxonomy places the organism in Eukaryota, Metazoa, Mollusca, Bivalvia, Mytilida, Mytilidae. The record is from RefSeq and is a predicted model, not a curated record. The transcript has 3 exons.
UUAAGGUCAUUGAACUUAUCCUUUAAUAUAGAUUUUGAUGAACAUAGCUACAGAUGAAAAUUACCGGCAGCAGAUGUUAAUACCCGUAUAAACCGGAAUCAAGGUGUAAACAACUCAGAUAUGGCUGAAAAUAAGCUACGACCAAGACAUGAAUUAGAAGAUGUUUUGAAAGGAAUCAGCAAUUCAUUACAUCUCUCUGGUAUGCAUUUAGAAUUAUCCUCAGAAGAACGCAUGGAUAGUCUUAUCUUGUUUUUGAAAGAAAAUUUUUGGAUAGAUGAACCCUUAUGCAAAUCUGUAGGCCUGAAAGUUUGUGAAGAUACAACUAGAAGGACUGCAUCACGUUUAAAAGACAAUCUGUCAAUCUUAAUGGUGUCCAACACUACAGGCGAUAUCAUAGGAUGUAGGACAAUGUGUAUAGAAAUAUUAAAUGAAGCAGACCACACAGCAGUACCGCAGAUUCAAAAUGAAAAUUUGAAAAAGAUCAGAACUUUUCUGGCACACAAAUGGGAGGAAAAGAAUGUAUUUAAACAUUUUGGUGUUAAAAAGGCAGUACAUUUUCUUCAUUUGUCGACGGGGAAGAAUUACCAUGGGCGUGGAAUAGCCUCUAAAUUAAUGCAGGCUUCACUAGCAUUUUGUAAAGAACUAGGAUUUACCCAAGUGUGCAUUGCUGGUGAAUGUACUUCCAACAUAUCACAGAAAAUCUUUGAGAAAUUUGAUUUUGAAAAUUUGUACACGGUUAGAUAUGAUGAAUAUAAAGUUAAUGAUGAAAUCGUUUUCACAAAUAUGGGUGACAAUAAAGCAGCUAAGUUUUUUGUUAAACAGUUAUAAAUAAGGUAUUUUAUGAAUAGUUGUCAGUUUUUAAUUGCACUUCAAAUCAACCAUUUCAACUCAAAACCUCAGGACUAUUGUUAAAAAAUUGUAUAAGCAGAGAAACAUCUAAAAGUAUAAUCUCAUAUAUUGAACCUGAUGUAGCAUAUAUAAUCAAUGUGUAUACUUAUCAACCUAUUGUGGAUUCAUUUUAUUUUUGCUAAUAUCAAUUUUUUUGUGGAUUGAGAAAAAUAUUUAUUUUUGGGAAUACCAGUACUUGAAUUCAUGGUUUUUGUUAUAUUGGGCAUACAAAUGAUAAGUAUUUAAGUAACAAAACAAAUUCUACAUUUUAUUUUUACAAUAUCAAUAAAUAAAUAACAAUAUACUAUAAAAACAACAAUGACAAAAGUUUACAUGGUCAUGGAAAGGUGGGCUAGGGCAGGUUAUGUGUAUAACAAGUUCACAUCAGGAGACUGUACCAUAUUAUUAUAAUAUACAUAGCAAUAUUCAACUAUUAAAGUGGUAGAAGUUAGUUUUAUGACAAUGUAGUAGUAAGUCAUAAAAAAGAUUAUUGCAACCAUCAAUCACAGUUAUUGAUGACAGCUAAAAUUUCAAUACUAGUACUGUAAAUGGUUUAUUCACUACAAUAAUACAAUGUAUAUUCCCUUUUUGGAUUUCUAAAGAAGAAUACUGUUUAAUGCUACUGUGAUGACAAAUAGACAAUUACUUUUUUCAUAACAGAUAACGAUGCCAAACACUUGCAAAAUACUCUGAUUGCCAUGAAUUAUAUAUGAUAGUACAUGUAUGUUACAAAAAAGUUUGCUGUAAGAUAACUGUUUUAUGCUGCAAGUCAUUUGAAAAUAAAUAUUUAUGAAAAUUUAUUUAAAAGUAAAAAACUUUGCUACAAAAAGUCAUCUACUUCAGGAGAUAAUACAUAUUAUAAAACUGGAGCCUGAAAUCGCUCACCUAGUAUAUUUAUCCCCUAAUUGCUCAAGAGAAGAUAACUUCUGACAAAUCUAACUUUCUAUUGCUUUGUUUUAAUCCACUUAAGUUUGAAAUCCUACCACCUUCUUGCAGUUUGGAAGAGAAGGUUUUUGAAAUUUGUCAAUCAGAAUCUAACAUUGUCUCUAUAAUCCAUCAAAUCAGAACCAAAUGAUGAUUACUUACAAGGGAUCUUCCAUACAUCAUUACUGCCAGGAUGUUUUGAGAGAGAAUGUGAUUUUCCAAAGGGUCUUAAUGGGAACCAUGUGCAACCUAUGCCUUCAAGUUUGCUAUUUGAUAAAAAUUGAAUGAAGAACAUUGUUGAGGGUCUUUAACCAUCAGUCCCAAAGUUUCAUAACAUUUUGCCUUCUAGCUUGAAAAAUGGCAAAUCAGAAUCAAAGAUUGCCCUGGUAUCCAUUUUUGUCCAUGCAAUAUGUAUAAAAUUUAAAUGUUUUUUAGAAUACCUUCCCUCCAUAAUUGCUGCCAAGUUUUGUUAAAAUUGGAUAAGUAGUUUCAGAAAAGGAAAUAAAAAUAAGAUCAGUUUAAGGAAGUUGGAUGAUAAGGAAUGGUCAAUGGAAGGCCAGGUGAGCUUAGAAAAUCUAUAUAUGAUUGUUAAAAACCAUUCUAUACUAGAUUUAGACUUUUAGACCAUUGACUUAUAUGUUACAAAUAUCAUUCAUUGAAUCAAUCAAGACAGUAGAAAACAAAAACCCAUAAAAUUGGUUAAAAUUGUCAUUUAAAAUCAAUAACACCUAUAAGGACAAUUUUGGUCAAGAUUGAAAGUAGGUAGACCUUGAUGUGAAUUUUUGCCUGAGAUUUUCUUUAUCUAUAAUGGUUUUCAAAAUACUUGCAUUAAAAAAAUUUCAGUCCUAUAUUUUAUUUUUAGCCUUGAUGGUCGUGUUGGUUGCCAGGUGGGAAUCAUCAGACACACUUCUUAAUAAGAUACCCAAGAAUGAUUGUUGCCAACUUUGGUUCCAAUAGGCCCAGUUGUUUCAGAGGAGAAGAUUUUUGUAAAAGUUAACAGAGGAUACCAGACACCAAGUGAUGAAAGCUAAAAAAAAAAACAGUGUUUUUUUUUAUAAAGUUUAGACAUAUAUUUGUAAACCUUUGUAAAAAAUCUUUUACCUCAUGCAGACAUCAUAAUUGACAUAUAUUUGUACCUGUGACAUAACAUCAGCUAGUACAUAAUAAAAGUAAGCAUAUAUCCUACUAAAUUCUCUUAUUAUUUAGUGAAACUCCUUAAUGAAAAAGUUCUUUAUUUUAACAGAGAUUAAAUUUCAUGAUUUGUUAGUUCAAAUUCUUUUUAAAGGUUUUAUUUUAGUGUUUUUGCCCUCAUUCUAAUCUUCUUAAAGAUUGAAUUUAUAAAAGGAAAAAUUUUUGCUUUUUAACCUAAUUACUGAAAUUGAUUGAAAAAACAACAAAAAAUUCCCAUUUCUUAUCAUGCAACAUCUAAAUUUUGAUAACUUGGUUUUGAUUGGCCAAAUGGUUUAAGGGUGAUAAUUGAAAUAAAUAUUGCAGGGCAAUAAUGGCAAAACACACUGCAGGGGCUUGAAUUUCGACAAUAGCUAUCAAUUGCCCUUUGGUCAAGUAGAACAUAAAAAGAUAUUUUUUAAUUUGGCCCCAUACAACAUUAACAUGCAAUGGAAAAUCUGAUCAUUGCUAAAUUUUGAUAUUAUAAUUGUGGUCAAACUUGGUUUUGAUUAGCUAAAUGGUUUCAUGGUAAUAAUUGAAAAAACAUUGCAGGACAACAAUGAAAAAAACACCGUGCAGAGGUAAGCGAUGGCAAUAGUUAUCAAUUGCCCUUUGUUCAAGUAGAGUAUAAAAGGAUGUUUUAAAUUUAGCCCCAUACAAAAACAACAUACAAUAAAAAUUUUGGUUCAAGAAAAAUAUUGUUGGUACAUCAAAGAAAUUUCGGUUCAAUCAAAAUAUUGUUUGGUACGACAAAGAAAUUUCGGUUCAAUCAAAAUAUUGUUUGGUACGACAAAGAAAUUUCGGUUCAAUCAAAAUAUUGUUUGGUACAACAAAGAAAUUUUGGUUCAAUCAAAAUAUUGUUUGGUACGACAAAGAAAUUUCGGUUCAAUCAAAAUAUUGUUUGGUAUGACAGAGAAAUUUGAUUCAAGCAAAAUAUUGUUUUGUAUGACAGAGAAAUUUGGUUCAAGCAAAAUAUUGUUUGGUAUGACAGAGAAAUUUGGUUCAAGCUAAAUAUUGUUUGGUAUGACAAAGAAAUUCAGGUUCAAGCUAAAUAUUGUUUGGUACAACAAGUGGUAUUGGUUCAAGCAUUAUUUGUUUUAUACAACAGAGGAAUUUUGUUUCAAGCAAAAUAUUGGUU